GCCCUUGCUCAGUAACACGUGGAUAACAUGCCCUGAAGUGGAGGAUAAUCUCGGGAAAUUGAGGAUAAUACUCCAUAGAUCAUAGGAUCUGGAAUGACUUAUGGUCGAAAGUUCCGGCGCUUCAGGAUUGGUCUGCGGCCUAUCAGGUCGUAGUGGGUGUAACGGACCCACUAGCCGACGACGGGUAUGGGCCUUGAGAGAGGGAGCCCAGAGAUGGAUUCUGAGACACGAAUCCAGGCCCUACGGGGCGCAGCAGUCGCGAAAACUUCACACUGGAGGCAACUCCGAUGAGGGAAUUCCUAGUGCUAGCACAUUAGUGCUAGCUUUUCUUAAGCGUAGAUAACUUAAGGAAUAAGGGCUGGGUAAGACGGGUGCCAGCCGCCGCGGUAAUACCCGCAGCCCAAGUGGUGGUCGAUUUUAUUGAGUCUAAAACGUUCGUAGCCGGUUUGGUAAAUCCUUGGGUAAAUCGAGAGGCUUAACUUUUCGAAUUCCGAGGAGACUGCCAAACUUGGGACCGGGAGAGGCGAGAGGUACUUCUGGGGUAGGGGUAAAAUCCUGUAAUCCUAGAAGGACCACCGGUGGCGAAGGCGUCUCGCUAGAACGGAUCCGACGGUGAGGGACGAAGCCCUGGGUCGCAAACGGGAUUAGAUACCCCGGUAGUCCAGGGUGUAAACGCUGCAGACUUGGUGUUGGGGGCCCUACGGGGGCGUUCAGUGCCGGAGAGAAGUUGUUAAGUCUGCUACUUGGGGAGUACGUCCGCAAGGAUGAAACUUAAAGGAAUUGGCGGGGGAGCACAAGGGC
Molecule: ribosomal RNA, 801 nt
Filed under: uncultured Thermoplasma sp.
Lineage: Archaea; Methanobacteriati; Thermoplasmatota; Thermoplasmata; Thermoplasmatales; Thermoplasmataceae
Description: bacterial SSU rRNA
Rfam family: Archaeal small subunit ribosomal RNA
Source: RNAcentral